Brachypodium distachyon (stiff brome) is the source of this 710-nucleotide long non-coding RNA. RefSeq lists it as uncharacterized. The record is from RefSeq and is a predicted model, not a curated record. The transcript has 4 exons. NCBI's taxonomy places the organism in Eukaryota, Viridiplantae, Streptophyta, Magnoliopsida, Poales, Poaceae.
UUGCGUUCUGGCAGGUACUCUUUGCAUUACCACCGCCUCGUUUUAGAGUAAGCUUGACGUUGUGCAAGGCUAUGCCGUGGCAAGGAGUUCUGCCACCAUAACUUGCCAUUUCCAUCAAUGGUCCCAACACCAGUGACAGUAAGACCUCUCACAGCUUUGAACAAAAUCCAGUGCCUAAUGGUUGCCUCGAUCCAGUAUGAUCUCUUUGGAGGAGCGACCAAGAAAAGGUUACGUGCUUUGUGAGGUAUUUCUUGCCCUUCGGAAGGAGCACAAUGCUAGGAUGAGAAGAGGAACAAGCUGCAGCCCACGCCUUUGCCAAUCCCUACAAUAAGGGGAUGUGCAAACACUGUGAGCCCCAUAUCUGAGCACGUCGAAGACACUGUUUGACUUCAGAGACCUGCCUCUAUGAUCAGCUCCAUUUGUUAGAGAGACCACUUUCAUGUCUCCCUUGGCAAGAACACAGCAGAAGAACAAUACCACUAGAAUGGAUGCAGGGAAAAUGAGCACAUUGGAGGCCAUUCUUCUUAGUAUGUGCUGUUAGAUGCAGGGAUUGAUGGAUCAAGCGUUCCAUCAGGAAGACUAUUUAUAGGUGCCAAGUUGGGUUGGAAAUCUUUGGAUUUUCUCUUCUCAGGUUGCUUCUGGUUGAUUAACUAAGCUGGCAUUGUUAUUUGGGGUGUAGCAAUUGAAGAUUCUAUUGGCAUUGGAAUUGA